AUUGAACGCUGGCGGCAUGCUUUACACAUGCAAGUCGAACGGCAGCGCGGGCUUCUUCCUGGCGUCGAGUUGCGAACGGGUGAGUAAUUCAUCGGUACUUGCCCUGUCUUUUUGUAUUGCUCGGCUAAAGCCGGCUUAAUACCGCAUACGACCUGAUGUUGAAACCCUGGGUUCUUCGGUCCUCGCCCUUUUUGAUCUCCCGAUGGCAUAUUUGCUAGUUGGUUGGGUAAAGUCCUACCAAGGCGACGAUCUGUAGCUGGUCUGAGAGGGAGACCUGCCACACUGGAACUGAGACACGGACCAGACUCCUACGGGAGGCAGCAGUGGGGAAUUUUGGACAAUGGGCGAAAGCAUGAUCCAGCAAGGCCGCGUGUGUGAUGAAGGACUUCGGGUUGUAAAGCACUUUUGGAGGGAAAGAAAAGGAGUGUGACAAAAACAGGGUGAGAUGACGGUACCCGAAGAAAAAGCACCGGCUAACUACGUG
RNAcentral lists this ribosomal RNA (484 nucleotides) under uncultured bacterium. Its description in RNAcentral is "partial 16S ribosomal RNA". It matches the Rfam family "Bacterial small subunit ribosomal RNA", at positions 30 to 507 of the family's 1533-position model. The record is from RNAcentral.